GACGAACGCUGGCGGCGUGCUUAACACAUGCAAGUCGAACGGAAAGGCCCUGCUUUUGUGGGGUGCUCGAGUGGCGAACGGGUGAGUAACACGUGAGUAACCUGCCCUUGACUUUGGGAUAACUUCAGGAAACUGGGGCUAAUACCGGAUAGGAGCUCCUGCUGCAUGGUGGGGGUUGGAAAGUUUCGGCGGUUGGGGAUGGACUCGCGGCUUACCAGCUUGUUGGUGGGGUAGUGGCUUACCAAGGCUUUGACGGGUAGCCGGCCUGAGAGGGUGACCGGCCACAUUGGGACUGAGAUACGGCCCAGACUCCUACGGGAGGCAGCAGUGGGGAAUAGUGCACAAUGGGCGGAAGCCUGAUGCAGCAACGCCGCGUGCGGGAUGACGGCCUUCGGGUUGUAAACCGCUUUCGCCUGUGACGAAGCGUGAGUGACGGUAAUGGGUAAAGAAGCACCGGCUAACUACGU
Molecule: ribosomal RNA, 467 nt
Filed under: uncultured bacterium
Lineage: Bacteria
Description: partial 16S ribosomal RNA
Rfam family: Bacterial small subunit ribosomal RNA
Source: RNAcentral